Molecule: ribosomal RNA, 484 nt
Filed under: uncultured bacterium
Lineage: Bacteria
Description: partial 16S ribosomal RNA
Rfam family: Bacterial small subunit ribosomal RNA
Source: RNAcentral
AUUGAACGCUGGCGGCAGGCCUAACACAUGCAAGUCGAGCGAAUGAAGGGAGCUUGCUCCUGGAUUCAGCGGCGGACGGGUGAGUAAUGCCUAGGAAUCUGCCUGGUAGUGGGGGAUAACGUCCGGAAAUGGGCGCUAAUACCGCAUACGUCCUGAGGGAGAAAGUGGGGGAUCUUCGGACCUCACGCUAUUAGAUGAGCCUAGGUCGGAUUAGCUAGUUGGUGGGGUAAAGGCCUACCAAGGCGACGAUCCGUAACUGGUCUGAGAGGAUGAUCAGUCACACUGGAACUGAGACACGGUCCAGACUCCUACGGGAGGCAGCAGUGGGGAAUAUUGGACAAUGGGCGAAAGCCUGAUCCAGCCAUGCCGCGUGUGUGAAGAAGGUCUUCGGAUUGUAAAGCACUUUAAGUUGGGAGGAAGGGCAGUAAGUUAAUACCUUGCUGUUUUGACGUUACCAACAGAAUAAGCACCGGCUAACUUCGUG